GGCACGGACCCCUCAACGGGGCUGUUACGGGGCUGCUGUGGGGCAGGAACCCCCCUAUGGGGCAGCUAUGAGGCGGUGACCCCCCUACAGGGCUGCUUUGGGGCAGCUAUGGGGCGGUGACCCCCCUAUGGGGCUGCUUUGGGGCAGCUAUGGGGCGGUGACCCCCCUAUGGGGCUGUUGUGGGGCAGCUAUGGGGCAGGAACCCCUCAGUGGGGCCGGUACAACCAUAGGGCACACGGGACCCCCCCACCCCCCCAUCUGUGCCCCUCAGCUGUGCCCCCCAUAUCUUGGGGCUGAGACCCCUCUAUGGGGCGGGGACCCCCUAUGGGGCAGAGGGGCCACCCCACGGGGUAAGCAAUGGGGCUGGGACCCCUAUAGGGCCGCUACAGGGCAGCGCCCCCCCCCCAUAGGGCUGCUAUAGGGCAGGGACCCCCCCCAUGGACUUGGCAAUGGGACCGGAACGCCCUCUUAUGGGGCACAGACUGUCCUAUGGGGCCGUGAACCCUCUAUGGGGCCGCUAUGGGUCCUGCAGUGGGGCAGUGACCCCCCCCAAAGGAGCCCCAUAGGGGUUCUGUGCCCCACUGCUGUUCCCCACUGCCCCACAGCCGGCAGCCCUGACCCCCCCACCCCACACAUCCCCCCCCCCCCCCGGGGGUCCCCGCGCCCCAUAUCCGUAAUCCCCAUUCCUGAUUUAGCCCCUAAUCCCGGGAUCGGCCUCGUUAACUCCCGGCCCUAACGAGAUUAGGGGCGCUCAGCCCCAUAGCGGGGGGUCUGGGGGUGUGGGGUGCACCGGGGGGUGGGGGGCGUGGUGAGAUUUGGGGUGCCCUAUAAGUUUGC
This 837-nucleotide long non-coding RNA is filed under the name Gallus gallus (chicken). The record is from RNAcentral. Lineage: Eukaryota; Metazoa; Chordata; Aves; Galliformes; Phasianidae.